RNAcentral lists this long non-coding RNA (281 nucleotides) under Elaeis guineensis (African oil palm). RNAcentral's name for it is "long non-coding RNA (EGUI_LNC013978)". Lineage: Eukaryota; Viridiplantae; Streptophyta; Magnoliopsida; Arecales; Arecaceae. The record is from RNAcentral.
ACGUUGGCAUGAUUACCAUCACUUUGCAUCUUGCACCUGCUUCUUUCUAGUACGCAGCCAGUUUUUCUGCCAACCAGUAAUAAAAUAUUAUGAUCUACCAAUCAAGUCUUACCAAUCCAUUUUGGUUGAGAUCUAAAAUGUUCGACCUUUACUGUUUUUAUGGCAUGGCAUACCAUUAAGGAAAAUAAAAUUUACACCUAGGAUUGCUUGCUUGUUAAAAGCAUGAAUGAACUAUUGUUGUAUGUUUAGUUAAAUAAGAUUGACAUCUUUCUGCUGGCACC